CCAAGUCUUCCCAGACAAAGCUGCUUGGGAAUACCACACAGAUAUUCUGUUAUGCUUCUGAAACAAGAAAGAACAGACAUUGCCUUAAAAGAGAAUUAAAAAUAUCCAAUGCCUGAAUGCUGCCUGGGCCUUCACCCAGUCCUCACACUCUCGCUGGCUGCUGUUAUCAUGAAUGGCACUAAUCAGUUCCAGGAAGUCUCUACAACAAGCAUUAUGUCACAUAUGGUUACAUCAUUCCCUCUAACCUCUAGGGCUUCCUGUUGACAUCUCUGGAGCUCUUCUACUACCAAAUGGUAUUAGAAGAAAUGCCAAGCUGUAUUUUUAUCCAUUUCUGUCUGCCAAAAGGAAUUCAAAUGUUUCCCAUUUGCAGGUUUUACCUGCUGGGUCUCAUCUUUGCUUCUUAAAAUGAGCAAACCUUAGUGAGCCUUCUCAGGGUCUCUCCAGAUGUUUGCCUAAAGGAUGGGAAUGCUGCUGUUGACUUAUUUUCUACAAUCAAAACAGAAAAAGGAGUAGGAGGGAAAAGUCUACACUCUGGGUUUUGCUCUGCAGUGUUCGUUUCUCUGAUACAGCAUCUGCACUACGAAAUUCACCCCGAAUGGACACUCAGAUGUUUUUACUUCCAGCAGAGAGGACACAACUCUCAAGCUGAAUUAGGCCAUUUGGAGAGGUUUACCAAAAUCUCCAUGGGUUACAGACGCAAGACUUUUCUCUCAAACUGGUCUGGACUGAGCACUUAGUGUGCAGUAACAUGCGAACUCUGACCACAUCACCGGUGUGAAAUUGCUGAUUAACCUUUUGACUCUGACAAUUGGGACUUCUCUCAACACCAACUGGUAAUGCAGAAGACCAUUAGUAGUUAAUAUUGGGACAUCCCAGCUCCAGAUGUCAAAAGGUUAAUGAAAAAUCAAGUAUCUUGCUUUUGCUGGGGAACUUGGAAACCUUCCCCCCAAAGCAGUUAAUUUUUUCUGAUAAAUAAGCCAGACUGCUUGAGCUGAGAAAGACGGGUGUUUUGCUAAUGUGUACAGCUGUUAAUUGAAAAAGAUUUGGGUAUGCUUGUUCUUUUGGAUGUAGAUAAAAGAGAGAUUUGUUGGCGAACUUAGUUAGUCUUGAACACCCCUUUGUUCAAAUACACUACAUAAUAAUAACGCUUUGUUCUUUCUGUAACAGCCAUGGAGGGAUUUUGAGUAGAAUACUCAUUUUCUUUAAGUCAUAUCUGCCAGUAAUCAUUCCUGGCUUAAGACCAGCUGCCAUUUAUGUGUUUUAUGAAAAUAUAACAGUUUUACACUCAAAACUAUUUUCUUUUUAGGUAAAAGCUUCAGCACAAGCUGGUUCCCUGUAUCUACCAUAAAUGCUAUUUAUCGCAGAUUUUGGUCUUUAAAACAGAAAGAUAAUGUUAAAACAUUUUGAUUACCCUUUCCUUGCUAUCAUUCACAACCCAUCUUUUCUAAUUAUGGUAUUAGGACAUUUACAUAACCGGGAAAAGGGUCCUUUAACUACAUUUCUAUUAUGUUUGGCACUUCUGUGAAAGGAUAUUAUAUUCAUGUGCAUUAGAGAUUGCUUAUAAAAGAUCAAGACAAUAAUAGCAGAUCAGACGAUAAAGGUUCCCUUUUCUCCUCCCAGACAGGCUGUCUCUGACAGAAGAAUACAGUUCAUCAAAAGUGUCUGCAGGUUGUCAAACUCAGUGAGAUUUGGGGACACUCGGAGGCUGUCAUGGCCAACAAGAAGAUUUUCUGUAGGGUUCUGCCAUCAUUCACCCUCAGGAAAUAAUCACUCACUACAUUCUGCAUGCUCUCAUGAUAGAGCUCUAUUUGAGAGAAAAGAGCCAUUUUAUCAAAGGACAAUAUAUCCCUUCUCUUGGUCCAUGUAGCUUCCAUUAUCAGACCAUAAUAAAUCAUAUUUAUGUUCUCAGUUAAUAAGACUGAUUACAAUGCAGGUUACAGGCAUGGGAAAAGAAAAUCAGGUGAAAAGAUGUUUUAAUGAAAAUAUGAUAAGCAAACAGCUUCUUGUGAACAUUUCAGGCUGUUAUUUGUAAUGAUCACAGGCAAUUUUUGAUACAUCUUCUUUAGCAAUGGUUUAAGCUGCAUAAAUUGGCUUGCCACUUUAUACGUUGAAAUAGGAAGAAUCCCGGUGUCCUUCUUAUGUUGUCUAGAAUCAUUAUAUACAUUAUAAGCAUAAAAUGAGUUUAAUGUAUGUGCUUUGAAAAGAAGGGGAAAACAGAAAAUCAGGGAAGACUGAUUUUAAUGCUGCUCAGAAUGAUUUUGAAAUUUUCUACUCAUCUUUGUUACUAACGGUGCAUUUUCCAUGAAAUUUAGGAAUGACAUGUACUGCUUUCAUCUCCUUAAAAUUAAUAUACUGUGCUCUCUGUUUUUCUCAAUUUCUUCAAAGUUCUUCUUAGAGCACUGCGCAAAGAGACAGAGAGAAAUUCUCCACUCGAAGCAUAUCUGCUGUUAAUGCUGAGGGGAGUUAAGUAUCUGCUUCUAUAGGAGAAUAUACCCCAGUGUUCCUGAAGGGCACCCUGUUAAUAUGGUGCAAGAAUGUCUAACUCUGGCACAUGUAAUGCAUUCAAGGGCCAACUUCCACUGAAUUUUUUUAAGUGAUUAAGGCAGU
RNAcentral lists this long non-coding RNA (2607 nucleotides) under Taeniopygia guttata (zebra finch). Its description in RNAcentral is "lncRNA (ENSTGUG00000021353.1)". Lineage: Eukaryota; Metazoa; Chordata; Aves; Passeriformes; Estrildidae. The record is from RNAcentral.